This 253-nucleotide ribosomal RNA is filed under the name uncultured bacterium. RNAcentral's name for it is "partial 16S ribosomal RNA". It matches the Rfam family "Bacterial small subunit ribosomal RNA", at positions 524 to 776 of the family's 1533-position model. The record is from RNAcentral.
UACGGAGGGUGCAAGCGUUGUCCGGAAUUACUGGGCGUAAAGGGCGCGUAGGUGGCCAACUAAGUCAGACGUGAAAUCCCUCGGCUUAACCGGGGAACUGCAUCUGAUACUGGAUGGCUUGAGUUUGGGAGAGGGACGCGGAAUUCCAGGUGUAGCGGUGAAAUGCGUAGAUAUCUGGAGGAACACCGGUGGCGAAGGCGGCGUCCUGGACCAACACUGACACUGAUGAGCGAAAGCGUGGGGAGCAAACAGG